Molecule: ribosomal RNA, 442 nt
Filed under: uncultured bacterium
Lineage: Bacteria
Description: bacterial SSU rRNA
Rfam family: Bacterial small subunit ribosomal RNA
Source: RNAcentral
AAUCAACGCUGGCGGCGUGCCUCAGACAUGCAAGUCGAACGAUUAAAGCUCUCUUCGGAGAGUGUAUAGAGUGGCGCACGGGUGAGUAACACGUAAGUAAUCUACCUUUGAGUGGGGAAUAACAAUCGGAAACGAUUGCUAAUACCGCAUAAUGCAGCGGCAUCGCAAGAUGACAGUUGUUAAAGGAGCAAUCCGCUUAAAGAGGAGCUUGCGGCAGAUUAGCUAGUUGGUAAGGUAAUGGCUUACCAAGGCUACGAUCUGUAACCGGUCUAAGAGGACGGUCGGUCACACUGACACUGAAUAACGGGUCAGACUCCUACGGGAGGCAGCAGUCGGGAAUUUUGGGCAAUGGGCGAAAGCCUGACCCAGCAACGCCGCGUGAAGGAUGAAGUAUUUCGGUAUGUAAACUUCGAAAGAAUGGGAAGAAUCAAUGACGGUACCA